Long non-coding RNA from Oncorhynchus tshawytscha (Chinook salmon), 1350 nucleotides. The record is from Ensembl. Lineage: Eukaryota; Metazoa; Chordata; Actinopteri; Salmoniformes; Salmonidae.
CUGGACAAUGCUGUGCCACUGUCCCCUAUACUGGUGCUGCUGGCAACAAGGUUGACACCUGGUCCUGCCGUGGCUGUGACACUGUCCCCUAUACUGGUGCUGCUGGCAACAAGGUUGACACCUGGGCCUGCCGUGGCUGUGACACUGUCCCCUAUACUGGUGCAGCUGGCAACAAGGUUGACACCUGGUCCUGCCGUGGCUGUGACACUGUCCUCUGAAGUCUCUCUCCUUGGCUCUUUCCCUUUCACCACCCUCACUGCCUCACAGUUUGUCUCCUAGAAAAUAAAUAAGGUGUUUGCCGUACUCCUAACUACCAGUACCCAAAACUACACAAUUAAUUAAUACCAUUGCCUUAAACAGAUCUUAGUUCAGUCACCAGUUUAGGUUGAGAGUGGGGGUAUCCAUGGCAUUUCCAAUUAUGUCCCAAUUUAACAAGUCAAAAAAAUGUAGAACCUUUCAUAAUGUUGCCAAACAAAUGACUCAAUAAACUUACCUGAGACUCCCUGUCUCUGCCUGUCUGUCCCUGCCCAUCUGUCCCCAGCUCUGCUGUCUGUGUGCCCUCUGUUGCCUGAUGUGCCUAAUGCCAUUCUUGUGAAACUUUUCCAUUAACAUUUCACUUCUUUCUAAUGAACAUUUUAUCAACUAGUCUUAGGCUACUAGGGUUCUUGCUUUGCGUUUUGGUGUACUGAAAAAUACUCUGAUGUCUGACUUUUUACUUUUUUCUGAAAUGUUUCUACCUGGCAAGCUGCACAAACACACACACACAUACCGUGUAUAGGUUAUUUACAGUAGGAGAUGGGCUUCUAUCAUCUUAUCUUCUAUCAUUCUAUAUGGGCUUCGAUCUAAAAGAUAGCUAGCAAAUGUGAAACGGAUUGCAGUGACAAGAGUUGACAGCUGUAUGAGUUCACCAUUUACACAACAUAUGCUGCAACCUUUUGUCAUUUUAAUAUAGUUUGUUUCAUAUUGGCUGGCUUCGAACAAUAGCUGAAUUUGCAAUGCUAGCGAGCACCAAUUCCGUUUCUGUGGUGUUUGCUAUAAUCUUUGCUAUUAUCAGUUUACUCCAAGAUCAGCACACGUGCUUCAAAGUCCCAAAGCGACAAUUUAGUUUUUGCAACGAGACCAUUAAAGAUAUUUAAGACAAUGGUAGAAGAGAGUGUAGUUAUGUUCACUUGAUCGCUAACCUUAUCACAGUGACUUUGUAGCACUACAGCUGCAUGCUGAUCCUGGAAUAAACUGACGACAGCAAAGAUUCCAUCUUUGACGACGCCACAUGAAUGGAAUAGUUACUAGCUAGUUUAAUAGUUAAUGUUUGCACGCUAGCUCUGCAAAUUCAGAUAGUGUGUGUGUAAA